RNAcentral lists this long non-coding RNA (344 nucleotides) under Brachypodium distachyon (stiff brome). Its description in RNAcentral is "long non-coding RNA (BDIS_LNC003706)". The record is from RNAcentral. Lineage: Eukaryota; Viridiplantae; Streptophyta; Magnoliopsida; Poales; Poaceae.
UUAUUGUUACGAACGCGACAAGCAAGAACGAAAAACGAAAAAAAAAUCACAGCACAAGGACACAUGGAUUCAAUGUGGAAAACCCUCCAAACAACGAGGGGAAAAACCACGGGCGCCAGUCAGCGAAACUUCACUACAUGGAAGUGUUUACAACGCCUGGGAGAUUUCACGAACUCAACUCGUGCGAACUCAGCCCAAAACGGCGGCAUACAAGGGGUAUUUAUAGCAGGAGCAUUAGUACAAGUCAGAUCCGUAACGGUCACACCGGAAGUUCCGGUUGGAGGCCGGAAGUUUCGCAUAUUCUUUAAUAUCCGGAAGUUCCGCAGCAAGUUCCGCAAUUUCCC